Molecule: ribosomal RNA, 393 nt
Filed under: uncultured bacterium
Lineage: Bacteria
Description: bacterial SSU rRNA
Rfam family: Bacterial small subunit ribosomal RNA
Source: RNAcentral
GACGAACGCUGGCGGCGUGCUUAACACAUGCAAGUGGAGCGACGAACCAGGCUUCGGCCUGGGGCAAAGCCGCGAACGGGUGAGUAACACGUGGGUAACCUGCCCUGAUGACCGGGACAACCCGAGGAAACUCGGGCUAAUACCGGAUGUGCUCCCAUCACACCAGUGAUGUGAGUAAAGAUAGCUUCGGCCUUCGCAUCGGGAUGGGCCCGCGGCGCAUUAGCUAGNGGUGGGGUAAAGCCUACCAAGGCAACGAUCCAUAGCUGGUUUGAGAGAACGACCAGCCACACUGGGACUGAGACACGGCCCAGACUCCUACGGGAGGCAGCAGUGGGGAAUCUUGGACAAUGGGGGCAACCCUGAUCCAGCCAUGCCGCGUGAGUGAUGAAGGCC